Molecule: ribosomal RNA, 786 nt
Filed under: uncultured archaeon
Lineage: Archaea
Description: bacterial SSU rRNA
Rfam family: Archaeal small subunit ribosomal RNA
Source: RNAcentral
ACGGCUCAGUAACACGUGGACAACCUACCCUAUGGAGGGGGAUAACCCCGGGAAACUGGGGAUAAUACCCCAUAGACUAUGGAAGCUGGAAUGCUCUGUAGUUGAAAGGUCCGCCGCCAUAGGAUGGGUCUGCGGCCGAUUAGGUUGUUGUUGGGGUAACGGCCCAACAAGCCUGUAAUCGGUACGGGUUGUGGGAGCAAGAGCCCGGAGAUGGAUUCUGAGACACGAAUCCAGGCCCUACGGGGCGCAGCAGGCGCGAAAACUUUACAAUGCGGGAAACCGUGAUAAGGGAACUCCGAGUGCCCGUAAAAUCGGGCUGUCCAUCUGUUUAAAUAACAGGUGAAGAAAGGGCCGGGCAAGACCGGUGCCAGCCGCCGCGGUAAUACCGGCGGCUCGAGUGGUGGCCACUAUUACUGGGCUUAAAGCGUUCGUAGCUGGUCUGUUAAGUCUCUGGGGAAAUCUACUGGCUUAACCAAUAGACGUUUCAGGGAUACUGGCAGACUAGGGACCGGGAGAGGUGAGAGGUACUCCAGGGGUAGGAGUGAAAUCCUGUAAUCCUUGGGGGACCACCUGUGGCGAAGGCGUCUCACCAGAACGGCUCCGACAGUGAGGGACGAAAGCUGGGGGAGCAAACCGGAUUAGAUACCCGGGUAGUCCCAGCCGUAAACGAUGUGCGUUAGGUGUAUCGAUGACCACGAGUCAUCGAGGUGCCGAAGAGAAAUCGUGAAACGUACCGCCUGGGAAGUACGGUCGCAAGGCUGAAACUUAAAGGAAUUGGCGGGGGAG